GCGGAGGAAAAGAAAAUAACAAUGAUUUCCCUAGUAACGGCGAGUGAAGAGGAAAGAGCUCAAAGUUGGAAACUGUUUGGCUUAGCUAAACCGUAUUGUAAACUGUAGAAACAUUUUCCUGGCACGCCGGAUUAAUAAGUCCUUUGGAACAAGGCAUCAUGGAGGGUGAGAAUCCCGUCUUUGAUCCGAGUAGUUGUCUUUUGUGAUAUGUUUUCAAAGAGUCAGGUUGUUUGGGAAUGCAGCCUAAAUUGGGUGGUAAAUCUCACCUAAAGCUAAAUAUUUGCGAGAGACCGAUAGCGAACAAGUACCGUGAGGGAAAGAUGAAAAGAACUUUGAAAAGAGAGUUAAACAGUAUGUGAAAUUGUUAAAAGGGAACCGUUUGGAGCCAGACUGGUUUGACUGUAAUCAACCUAGAAUUCGUUCUGGGUGCACUUGCAGUCUAUACCUGCCAACAACAGUUUGAUUUGGAGGAAAAAAUUAGUAGGAAUGUAGCCUCUCGAGGUGUUAUAGCCUACUAUCAUACUCUGGAUUGGACUGAGGAACGCAGCGAAUGCCUUUAGGCAAGAUUGCUGGGUGCUUUCGCUAAUAAAUGUUAGAAUUUCUGCUUCGGGUGGUGCUAAUGUUUAAAGGAGGAACACAUCUAGUAUAUUUUUUAUUCGCUUAGGUUGUUGGCUUAAUGACUCUAAUGAC
RNAcentral lists this ribosomal RNA (690 nucleotides) under Mucor circinelloides. RNAcentral describes it as "partial 28S ribosomal RNA". It matches the Rfam family "Eukaryotic large subunit ribosomal RNA", at positions 50 to 648 of the family's 3401-position model. Lineage: Eukaryota; Fungi; Mucoromycota; Mucoromycetes; Mucorales; Mucoraceae. The record is from RNAcentral.